Molecule: ribosomal RNA, 883 nt
Filed under: Salmonella enterica subsp. enterica serovar Give
Lineage: Bacteria; Pseudomonadati; Pseudomonadota; Gammaproteobacteria; Enterobacterales; Enterobacteriaceae
Description: bacterial LSU rRNA
Rfam family: Bacterial large subunit ribosomal RNA
Source: RNAcentral
GGGUUGUGAGGUUAAGCGACUAAGCGUACACGGUGGAUGCCCUGGCAGUCAGAGGCGAUGAAGGACGUGCUAAUCUGCGAUAAGCGCCGGUAAGGUGAUAUGAACCGUUAUAACCGGCGAUUUCCGAAUGGGGAAACCCAGUGUGACUCGUCACACUAUCAUUAACUGAAUCCAUAGGUUAAUGAGGCGAACCGGGGGAACUGAAACAUCUAAGUACCCCGAGGAAAAGAAAUCAACCGAGAUUCCCCCAGUAGCGGCGAGCGAACGGGGAGGAGCCCAGAGCCUGAAUCAGCAUAUGUGUUAGUGGAAGCGUCUGGAAAGGCGCGCGAUACAGGGUGACAGCCCCGUACACAAAAGCGCAUGUGCUGUGAGCUCGAUGAGUAGGGCGGGACACGUGGUAUCCUGUCUGAAUAUGGGGGGACCAUCCUCCAAGGCUAAAUACUCCUGACUGACCGAUAGUGAACCAGUACCGUGAGGGAAAGGCGAAAAGAACCCCGGCGAGGGGAGUGAAAAAGAACCUGAAACCGUGUACGUACAAGCAGUGGGAGCCCCACCACUAAGCCAGUGGUGAACUCCACAUACGCAUCCUUUGCUGAGGAUACGGUUAACGGAGCGAAAGCGACGUUCAACCUCAAAAGAAGCAGAGGGGGCUUAGUGGUGGGGUGACUGCGUACCUUUUGUAUAAUGGGUCAGCGACUUAUAUUCUGUAGCAAGGUUAACCGAAUAGGGGAGCCGGAGGGAAACCGAGUCUUAAUUGGGCGUUAAGUUGCAGGGUAUAGACCCGAAACCCGGUGAUCUAGCCAUGGGCAGGUUGAAGGUUGGGUAACACUAACUGGAGGACCGAACCGACUAAUGUUGAAAAAUUAGCGGAUGACCUGUGGCU